GACGAACGCUGGCGGCGUGCCUAAUACAUGCAAGUUGAGCGCUGAAGGUUGGUACUUGUACCGACUGGAUGAGCAGCGAACGGGUGAGUAACGCGUGGGGAAUCUGCCUUUGAGCGGGGGACAACAUUUGGAAACGAAUGCUAAUACCGCAUAAAAACUUUAAACACAAGUUUUAAGUUUGAAAGAUGCAAUUGCAUCACUCAAAGAUGAUCCCGCGUUGUAUUAGCUAGUUGGUGAGGUAAAGGCUCACCAAGGCGAUGAUACAUAGCCGUCCUGAGAGGGUGAUCGGCCAAAUUGGGACUGAGACACGGCCCAAACUCCUACGGGAGGCAGCAGUAGGGAAUCUUCGGCAAUGGACGAAAGUCUGACCGAGCAACGCCGCGUGAGGGAAGAAGGUUUUCGGAUCGUAAAACUCUGUUGGUAGAGAAGAACGUUGGUGAGAGUGGAAAGCUCAUCAAGUGACGGUAACUACCCAGAAAGGGACGGCUAACUACGUG
RNAcentral lists this ribosomal RNA (497 nucleotides) under uncultured bacterium. RNAcentral's name for it is "partial 16S ribosomal RNA". It matches the Rfam family "Bacterial small subunit ribosomal RNA", at positions 28 to 507 of the family's 1533-position model. The record is from RNAcentral.